RNAcentral lists this ribosomal RNA (814 nucleotides) under uncultured bacterium. RNAcentral's name for it is "bacterial SSU rRNA". It matches the Rfam family "Bacterial small subunit ribosomal RNA", at positions 62 to 860 of the family's 1533-position model. The record is from RNAcentral.
UCGAGGGGCAUCGGGGCGAGGAGCAAUCCUUGCCGCCGGCGACCGGCGCACGGGUGAGUAACGCGUAUGCGACCUGCCCGUUGCAGGGGGAUAAUCGGGAGAAAUCCCGUCUAAUACCGCGUAACGCCGCGGGGCUGCAUGGCCCUGCGGCCAAAGGAAGCGAUUCCGGCAACGGAUGGGCAUGCGUGACAUUAGCUAGUUGGCGGGGCAACGGCCCACCAAGGCGACGAUGUCUAGGGGUUCUGAGAGGAAGGUCCCCCACACUGGUACUGAGACACGGACCAGACUCCUACGGGAGGCAGCAGUGAGGAAUAUUGGUCAAUGGGCGCGAGCCUGGACCAGCCAAGUCGCGUGAGGGAUGACGGCCCUACGGGUUGUAAACCUCUUUUGUCGGGGAGCAAAUUCCGCCACGUGUGGCGGAGUCGAGAGUACCCGAAGAAAAAGCAUCGGCUAACUCCGUGCCAGCAGCCGCGGUAAUACGGAGGAUGCGAGCGUUAUCCGGAUUUAUUGGGUUUAAAGGGUGCGUAGGCGGACUGUCAAGUCAGCGGUAAAAUACGGGGGCUCAACCUCCGCCCGCCGUUGAAACUGACGGUCUCGAGUGGGCGAGAAGUAUGCGGAAUGCGUGGUGUAGCGGUGAAAUGCAUAGAUAUCACGCAGAACUCCGAUUGCGAAGGCAGCAUACCGGCGCCCAACUGACGCUGAAGCACGAAAGCGUGGGUAUCGAACAGGAUUAGAUACCCUGGUAGUCCACGCAGUAAACGAUGAAUACUAGCUGUCCGGGGCGAAUGAGCCCUGGGUGGCACAGCGAAAGCGU